Molecule: ribosomal RNA, 253 nt
Filed under: uncultured bacterium
Lineage: Bacteria
Description: partial 16S ribosomal RNA
Rfam family: Bacterial small subunit ribosomal RNA
Source: RNAcentral
GACGAACCGUGCAACCGUUGUUCGGAAUCACUGGGCUUAAAGGGCGCGUAGGCGGACCACCAAGUCAGGGGUGAAAUCCUGCGGCUCAACCGUAGAAGUGCCUUUGAUACUGGUGGUCUCGAGGGAGGUAGGGGCGUGCGGAACUUCCGGUGGAGCGGUGAAAUGCGCAGAUAUCAGGAGGAACACCAAUGGCGAAGGCAGCACUCUGGGACGUGACUGACGCUGAGACGCGAAAGCGUGGGGAGCAAACAGG